Molecule: ribosomal RNA, 482 nt
Filed under: uncultured bacterium
Lineage: Bacteria
Description: bacterial SSU rRNA
Rfam family: Bacterial small subunit ribosomal RNA
Source: RNAcentral
AUUGAACGCUGGCGGCAUGCCUUACACAUGCAAGUCGAACGGUAACAGGUCUUCGGAUGCUGACGAGUGGCGAACGGGUGAGUAAUACAUCGGAACGUGCCCGAUCGUGGGGGAUAACGAAGCGAAAGCUUUGCUAAUACCGCAUACGAUCUACGGAUGAAAGCAGGGGACCGCAAGGCCUUGCGCGAACGGAGCGGCCGAUGGCAGAUUAGGUAGUUGGUGGGAUAAAAGCUUACCAAGCCGACGAUCUGUAGCUGGUCUGAGAGGACGACCAGCCACACUGGGACUGAGACACGGCCCAGACUCCUACGGGAGGCAGCAGUGGGGAAUUUUGGACAAUGGGCGAAAGCCUGAUCCAGCCACGCCGCGUGCAGGAUGAAGGCCUUCGGGUUGUAAACUGCUUUUGUACGGAACGAAAAGACUCUGGUUAAUACCUGGGGUCCAUGACGGUACCGUAAGAAUAAGCACCGGCUAACUACGUG